UGCUUAAUCAAUUAAUUACUAUUAACUAAUUUUAAUUAACAUGAUUAUUUGGCUUAAUUAAAUAAUUUUUGAUAAUUAGUUUUAAUUAGUUUAAUUAAUCAAUUCAAUCAAACUGUAAUUAAUUAAUUUGGUUAAUUAAAUAUUGAUUGAUUUAUUUCAAUCCAAUUCAUCAUUGAUUCAAAAUAUCCAAACCAAUUUAAAAAAAAAACAAAAGUCAAAC
RNAcentral lists this long non-coding RNA (220 nucleotides) under Lathyrus oleraceus (garden pea). Its description in RNAcentral is "Pisum sativum (pea) long non-coding RNA (PSAT_LNC010974)". The record is from RNAcentral. Lineage: Eukaryota; Viridiplantae; Streptophyta; Magnoliopsida; Fabales; Fabaceae.